GACGAACGCUGGCGGCGUGCUUAAUACAUGCAAGUCGAGCGAGGCCCAUCCAGUGGCAACACUGGGGAAGGCCGAGCGGCGAACGGGUGAGUAACACGUGAGCAACCUGCCCCGAAGUCUGGAAUAACAUCGGGAAACCGGUGCUAAUACCGGAUUGCCCCACCUGACCGCAUGAUCGGGUGAGGAAAGAUCUAUCGCUUCGGGAGGGGCUCGCGGCCUAUCAGCUAGUGGCGGGGUAACGGCCCACCAAGGCGUCGACGGGUAGCUGGUCUGAGAGGACGACCAGCCACACUGGGACUGAGACACGGCCCAGACUCCUACGGGAGGCAGCAGUAGGGAAUCUUGCGCAAUGGGCGAAAGCCUGACGCAGCAACGCCGCGUGGGGGAUGACGGCCUCGG
Molecule: ribosomal RNA, 399 nt
Filed under: uncultured bacterium
Lineage: Bacteria
Description: bacterial SSU rRNA
Rfam family: Bacterial small subunit ribosomal RNA
Source: RNAcentral